AUGGAUGGAAGAAACUCUGCAUCCAAUUGACAAGUGAAAUGGCUCAGAUAAAGUCACAGGUUUGAAGGCAAAACCAUAAACUUCUCAGCUGGAAGGAGCAGAAAUCACCCCAGCGAAGAGCAGCUGCGUCGUCUCCCCAAAUGCCCCUUUCUCACGAAGCUUUUUUUCUAGCUUUUCUUUAAAAUGCCUCCACUCAGCUUGACCCCGAAUGCAUCACUGAGGUUUCUUUCUUGGCAUACAAUCAAAGUAUACUUGAGUUGAUCAGGCUCAAGUGUAGAGGGAAAAAAUGUGAUUCCAUUAGCGUGAUCCUGAGCCUCGAUGCACAAAUCCCAGUUCUACACCCCACCUCCCCAGAAGCCUGGAAAAUGAGAUGGCCUUUGCAGUGUCAACAGAUCUGGGACAAUCCAGAUGAAGGGAGAGAGGGAAUUCCACAUACAGAGUCCCUUCUGGAGAACACCUGGUGGCAGCUCCUGCAUUUGAGAUUGUUAAUAAGAGAUUGAAUAGCACUGGGCCAAGAACCAAUCCCUGAAGAUCCCGCUAGAAACUCAUAAACAGAUAAUGAGUGUGAAACGAUGCCCCGUAUUCUACAUAGAGAUAUUAUUGUGAUAUGAUUAUGGCAUAGCUGUGAUGUACUUUAUGCAAGAUAGGUCAUGUGAAAAGGUAAUGAUUGACUGAAUAUUAAUAUCCUCUUUGUAUGCGUGUAUCAUUUUGGUAUCUGACGUUAGGAAUCUUGUCUAUGCAUCUAUUACAAAUGUAUUUACACCUGAGGAACGCCCACUAGAAAGAACGCAAUGGGUCUGGAUGGCUGGCUGGGAAGGGCCAUUAGGGAGAACAAUAGGUCUUAGAAGAUGCUAAUCUCCCACCAGGAAGCCUUCCUGAGGACACUACAAAUGGCCUCCGAAUCAUGGCUGCUGUGGUCCUACAGAGACAUGUGACCAAGUCACCUGGUACUGGACUCCAUCAUAGAAUAGUAGUGGUUUUCCACUGAAAGGUGUGGGAACUAAAAGUUGGAAACAAAGGGUUCCCACCAUAUGCAAAAGUUAUAAGGCAGGGGAGUGACAUCAUUGUGGUUCUUCUUCACUGACUCCCCACCCAAGAAGAUUGCUGGAAACACCUGAGAAACGAGGACUGAACUGGGGGAGAUGGGCUGAACCCAGGCUAGAGGGAUUUCUAGCCUGUGAAAGGUAUAACUGGGGUUUUAAGCUGCAAGCAAGUGCAGCUUGCCCUCAAGAAUCUCUGUAAACUGCCCAAACCAACAAACAUGGGGAGGAUUUGACACUCAUAUCUGAUUUCUUUAGUAUAGUAAUCUUAGAUUGCGUUUCUGUUUUAUUUUCUGGGUAAUCUGCUUUCAUCUGUUUGCUAUCCCUUAUAAUCACUUAAAAUCUAUCUUUUGUAGUUAAAAAUUUUGCUUUUGCUCUGUCAAAAA
This is a long non-coding RNA of Malaclemys terrapin pileata, 1426 nucleotides long. RefSeq lists it as uncharacterized. The transcript is spliced from 3 exons. The record is from RefSeq and is a predicted model, not a curated record. NCBI's taxonomy places the organism in Eukaryota, Metazoa, Chordata, Testudines, Emydidae.